This 542-nucleotide long non-coding RNA is filed under the name Homo sapiens (human). RNAcentral's name for it is "non-protein coding lnc-SLC35C1-83:7". Lineage: Eukaryota; Metazoa; Chordata; Mammalia; Primates; Hominidae. The record is from RNAcentral.
AUCACAGGCAGGGGGAAUGGGGAGGGGACGGUAGCGUCAGCCUACACCCACACGCAGAAGCUGACAAUGACUGUUGGGCUUUUCCAAUGAAUACCAGAACACCAUUUCCUGCAGCCUGAAAAGAAGACAGUAUAAUUGUUUGGCAGCAAGAGGCCAAGCAGGAAACUAGAGAUAUGGUGACGGUAGUGGUCCCAGGGAGGAGCUUUAACCUGAGCACCACCCACAGAAGGCAGACCACCCUCCCAGCCGCAGUGCAAAUGAAUGUUGGCCCCCACCCAGGUCCCCAAGUGCUUUCCCAGUCACGCCCCAGCUGCCAGGUUUUUUUCUCCAGGCCUACUACAGAUGGGUUACCCUGACUCCACCCCCAACACCCUCCAAUGAUUAGAACCACUGACUCCUCCCUCCCAUGCCUGCCUCCAUGGCAGGCCCCUGCAGAAACCAAACAUAGUCACCUUAGACUCUGGCAUACUGAGACCAGGGCUUGAUCCUGGCCCCCUUGCCUCCCUGGCAAUUUAUCAUUUAAUAAAAAUAUUGUUAAAAAA